CGGCGGACGGGUGAGUAACGCGUGGGUAACCUGCCUCAUACAGGGGGAUAACAGUUGGAAACGGCUGCUAAUACCGCAUAAGCGCACAGUACCGCACGGUACCGUGUGAAAAACUCCGGUGGUAUGAGAUGGACCCGCGUCUGAUUAGCUAGUUGGUGGGGUAACGGCCUACCAAGGCGACGAUCAGUAGCCGACCUGAGAGGGUGACCGGCCACAUUGGGACUGAGACACGGCCCAA
This 238-nucleotide ribosomal RNA is filed under the name uncultured bacterium. RNAcentral's name for it is "partial 16S ribosomal RNA". It matches the Rfam family "Bacterial small subunit ribosomal RNA", at positions 96 to 334 of the family's 1533-position model. The record is from RNAcentral.